GCGGGCAUAGUUUAGUGGUAAAAUUUUAGGCUUCCAACCUAAAGAUGGGGGUUCGAUUCCCCCUGCCCGCU
RNAcentral lists this transfer RNA (71 nucleotides) under Nitzschia dubiiformis. RNAcentral describes it as "tRNA-Gly". It matches the Rfam family "tRNA". Rfam says of the family: Transfer RNA (tRNA) molecules are approximately 80 nucleotides in length. Their secondary structure includes four short double-helical elements and three loops (D, anti-codon, and T loops). The record is from RNAcentral. Lineage: Eukaryota; Bacillariophyta; Bacillariophyceae; Bacillariales; Bacillariaceae.